GACAUUUAUGUGCAUUGGGUCAGUGCAUCUGGCUGUUAACCAGAAGGUUGGUGGUUCGAGCCCAGCCAGAGACG
Non-coding RNA from Podarcis lilfordi (Lilford's wall lizard), 74 nucleotides. NCBI's taxonomy places the organism in Eukaryota, Metazoa, Chordata, Lepidosauria, Squamata, Lacertidae. The record is from the annotation of a GenBank genome assembly.